Molecule: long non-coding RNA, 475 nt
Filed under: Gossypium barbadense (sea-island cotton)
Lineage: Eukaryota; Viridiplantae; Streptophyta; Magnoliopsida; Malvales; Malvaceae
Description: long non-coding RNA (GBAR_LNC020440)
Source: RNAcentral
CACACUCCCAUAUUAUAUAUAUAUGCCCACAUUCACCAAAUUGGGGUUUCUGAAAACCCUAGCUCGACAGAGAAACAGCAAAAACCCUAGAAUUAUGCCAUAAAAGAUACAUAACAGAUAGGAGAUUCUGAUUCACCCACCAAUUUCAAAGAAUACCCAAAGAGAGAGAAAGAAGAAGAAAAAACAGUACAGGAAGUGGAGGAAAAAGCUUCAAGUUCCAUCAUCAAUGGAGGAAAAGACAAGCUAUACUUUUUUUUUUGUGUGUGUGUGUGGCAAAUGCUAUAGGGAUAAUAUGAAGAGGGGGGAAUACUUGUCUGUGAGUGGUUGGAGCAACUGUAGUAGUGGAGAGAUUGAGAACAAUACCCCAAUGAAGAGAGUGACUGAUCCGACCAAUUUAAAAAAAAAUUAUCUGUACUUAUUUGCAGAAAAGCAAAGAUAUAUAGAAAAAAAAAUACUACUACAAUUUUAGGUGAAA